This 496-nucleotide ribosomal RNA is filed under the name uncultured bacterium. RNAcentral's name for it is "bacterial SSU rRNA". It matches the Rfam family "Bacterial small subunit ribosomal RNA", at positions 11 to 507 of the family's 1533-position model. The record is from RNAcentral.
GUUUGAUCCUGGCUCAGAUUGAACGCUGGCGGAAUGCUUUACACAUGCAAGUCGAACGGCAGCACGGGGCAACCUGGUGGCGAGUGGCGAACGGGUGAGUAAUACAUCGGAACGUGCCCAAUCGUGGGGAUAACGUAGCGAAAGUUACGCUAAUACCGCAUACGAUCUACGGAUGAAAGCGGGGGAUCGCAAGACCUCGCGCGAAUGGAGCGGCCGAUGUCAGAUUAGGUAGUUGGUGGGGUAAAGGCUCACCAAGCCAACGAUCUGUAGCUGGUCUGAGAGGACGACCAGCCACACUGGGACUGAGACACGGCCCAGACUCCUACGGGAGGCAGCAGUGGGGAAUUUUGGACAAUGGGCGCAAGCCUGAUCCAGCCAUUCCGCGUGCAGGAUGAAGGCCUUCGGUUGUAAACUGCUUUGUACGGAACGAAACGGUUCUCUCUAAUACAGGGGGCUAAUGACGGUACCGUAAGAAUAAGCACCGGCUAACUACGUG